RNAcentral lists this long non-coding RNA (530 nucleotides) under Malus domestica (apple). RNAcentral describes it as "long non-coding RNA (MDOM_LNC002948)". The record is from RNAcentral. Lineage: Eukaryota; Viridiplantae; Streptophyta; Magnoliopsida; Rosales; Rosaceae.
AGCCGAAGUUUCUAAUUGACAAAUCAAGCAAAUCUUGGAGAAGACGAUUGGACCAACUCGAAAGGAUUGGAGCUUAUGUUUGACUGAUGCAUUGUGGGCAUAUCGUACUGCUUACAAAACACCAAUUGGUGAAGGGAAAUAAUGAGAUUCAUGUGGGAUUUCUAGUGACUAGCAUGCAUAUACAAUUCAAAAUUCAUAUACAUACGCAACGGAAGCAUGUUAUCAAAUAAUAUCAAAGCUAUAGUCAUGCAAAUCCCCUUCAAGAAGCAUAGGUUUAUAUAAGAUGCAUCAAAACAUUUUAUUGAAGAACAAAGUGUAGGAGUAGAUUUAUACCUCUUGAUCUAGACUUGAGACCAAGGAUAGACCACCUCCAAGCCCUUUGCUCUUGGAACUCCUUGAGCCUAGCCUCCCUCCUUGCUUCCUCGACCUUGCUAGAAUGAGUGCUCCUUAGUUCUCCUUUAGUCUCCAAGAUUGAAGACUUCUAAAGAUCCACACCCACUAGUGUAGUGAGAUGGAUGGAGGAAUAACCA